CUGCCAGAGUACUACAAGCAACAGCUUAAAAUUCAAANGACUUGGCGGUAUCCCAAAACCCCCCAGAGGAGCCUGUUCUAUAAUCGAUAACCCACGUUUUACCUUACCAUUUUUUGCUAACUCAACCUAUAUACCGCCGUCAUCAGCCCACCUUUUGAAAGACUAAUAGACAGCUAAACUGAACAUUACCAAAUACGUCAGGUCAAGGUGUAGUAUAUGAAAUGGACAGAAAUGGGCUACAUUUUUUUACAAAAAAUAUCACGACUAAUAUUAUGAAAAAAUAUUUAAAGGCGGAUUUGGUAGUAAAAUAAGAUCACCAUACUUAUUUUAAACCGGCCCUGGGAUGCGC
RNAcentral lists this ribosomal RNA (349 nucleotides) under Dermophis mexicanus (Mexican burrowing caecilian). RNAcentral's name for it is "partial 12S ribosomal RNA". It matches the Rfam family "Bacterial small subunit ribosomal RNA", at positions 869 to 1384 of the family's 1533-position model. Lineage: Eukaryota; Metazoa; Chordata; Amphibia; Gymnophiona; Dermophiidae. The record is from RNAcentral.